GUUUACGUGCCCUAACCACUUCCAAGAACAAGGUCACUGAAAGGGUCGUGACCAAGAGCCGGGAGGUGGCUUGGAAACCAGGUCACAUCUCCAGCAGAUGUGGAGCAGGGCGAUUGGGUGGGUAAUGUUCCAGCUAUGUGGGUGGUCAAGGUCCACACCCGGACACAGCUCCUGGGUCUGCUUUCUGUGGUGGCCAAAACAUGACCUUACGUGACCACUUUGCCACCUGGUGCUGGCAGGAGCCCUACCCUCUCCAAAAUCUGGCCCUGGUCCCCAAGGUUCAGUGCCCAGAAGUACCCUGUGGCUCACACACUAACUCAGCAUCCACACACGGGGGAUGGAGCACAACCACCUGAUGUCCAGAAGACAAAUGAGGUGGUCACAGAUUGGGAUGGGACGGUAGGACCUGAAGGAAGUGUGCCCUUCUCUCUACCGACUGUGGAGCGCAAUCCCUCUGAGUUCCCUGCGCCUGAAAUGAACUGCACCAUGCUUAGGUAAAAUGGCUGCUGCCCUCUCUGCUGCUCUAACUAAAUCAGGUCAAAAGUGUGUUUUAAGUGAAAAUGGUGGGGGGGGUUCGUGCCUGUAGGGCACGAACAAGCCCUCGGGCAUUUCUGACCAUACCGUUCUUACUGCAGCCUAUCCUCCAAUGCUUUAAUGCAAAAUAAGGCACUUAAAAUGGAUAGUCAUACCCGCAGGACCAUCACUCUCAAUCGUGAACCUUUCAUGAACCCAGGAAAAAAAAUCAAUGAGGGGGAUUAAAAAAAAAAAAACCAACCACCAAGAAAAUCAUAUUUCACCUCCUCCGUGGCAGCAGAUCUGCAGAGAAGUUGUAGGGUUGUUUGCCUCUGGGCUGGGCUGGGCAAAAAAAAUACAGUGAUGUAGGCUUCCCUGUAGGGGAUUAGGUUUCACUUUAAAAUUUAAACAAACACAGAAAUCUUAGCAUAAGCUUCUAGGAGAUUAAGCAUUCUGGCACGAACCUAGGCAUAAGGAGCAGAAGGCUGGGACUCAGGAGACAUCAGGAUUACUGUCUCCUCCACCACUAUGCAACCUGUUGUGCGAUCAUCUCCUGCUUCGUUCAAGCCAGAUCUUCAAGGCUGACUUCUUCCUUCUGGUUUCGGUGGGAGUAAGAGCUUAAAUGCCUCGAGAAGGUCCACUUGCUAUCUGCUCAUCGCAGAAGUGUUGCAAGAGCUGUGAGUGAUGCAGGAAAGAAUGGUGACCAUGGAAUGCUUAUAAAAUUGGCAAAGGCGGGAAGUCAAACUGAGUCAAGUGAUCCCCAUUCCUUAAAAUGGCCCACCACCCCAGCAGACCUCAGUCCAGACCAACAGUGGACCUCAGAAUGGAAUAACUGCUGUGCUGCAUUUCCCAGCUGUGACUCAGGCGCUGUGGGAUGUUUCGCGUUGCUUCCCGACAUGCAGAGAUGCUCACCUUUCCCGUGAGGAUGCUGCACGUAGACUUUUCCUGCUUUGCGGAAGCGUAGUUGUAUCUGAACGCUGACUUAUUUCUUUGUGACUAAUGAGCCUGCAUGAAAGCAUUGGAUAGUCUCGAAUGGGCAGGUGUAUUAUACUCCGUGUUAAGAAAUUUGUUUUGUUCAGCUGUAUGUCAAACGUGAUUUGUGGCUGGGCUGUGGAAUCAAUCCAAAAAGAUAAAUUUGCUUACCAAAGGUUGCUGUCAAGCUCUACCGUGCUGAAGCUCCAGCUUACAGAAGGCAGCGUCUUCCAACAAAAGGGUUUCAGCCAAAUAAAUGGAGCUUAGAGAAAAUGCAAUGUUACAGCUGAAGUACCGGGAUAAUUGAGCCUGUAACAUCUGCUGAAAUGUAGUGACACCAAAAAUAAACACUUCUGCCCAUGUUGCUAUUCCCUGGUACAGCAGUGUAUAAACAUGUGAUGCGACCCCAGCACAUCAGGGAAUGUGGGAACAGACUGGUGUUGCCAUCAUAAGUACCCUUCCCCUGUCAAGGAAGGAGCUUUCCGAGCACAGCUGUAAUAAGGACAUUGCUUGGGUUGCUUUCCAGCAGCUUUUAUGAGAAGGGAAAAGGGAUCAUGUGCUUAAUUAGCCCCUUUAGUAAGAGGUGUUCUUGUGUAUGUUUUGCAGCUGGAACAAAGGGCCAGGGUGAGGGUGUUUGCUUGAUUUUUCCCUUAAAGAGAGAAAAUGUAUGAAAUCGUUCCUGGAUGGAAAAUAGGGAAAAAAAAUAGCAAAAAUCUUUUGUCUGUUAUAAGGACUAAUUUUCCUAGGAAAAUGCUCAAGAAUGAGAUUUUCCUUUUGUUGCAAAUUACUGUUGAGUUUGAUUAAACAGA
Long non-coding RNA from Gallus gallus (chicken), 2294 nucleotides. Lineage: Eukaryota; Metazoa; Chordata; Aves; Galliformes; Phasianidae. The record is from Ensembl.